UGGGGAAUUUUGCACAAUGGGGGAAACCCUGAUGCAGCGACGCCGCGUGAUUUAGAAGGCCUUCGGGUUGUAAAAAUCUUUUCUAUGGGAAGAAAAUGACAGUACCAUAGGAAUAAGGACCGGCUAAUUACGUGCCAGCAGCCGCGGUAAUACGUAAGGUCCGAGCGUUGUCCGGAAUCAUUGGGCGUAAAGGGUACGUAGGCGGGUAAGCAAGUUAGAAGUAAAAUCCUGUAGCUCAACUACAGUAAGCUUUUAAAACUGCUCAUCUUGAGAUAUGGAAGGGAAAGUGGAAUUCCUAGUGUAGCGGUGAAAUGCGCAGAUAUUAGGAGGAAUACCGGUGGCGAAGGCGACUUUCUGGUCAUAAUCUGACGCUGAGGUACGAAAGCGUGGGUAGCAAACAGG
Molecule: ribosomal RNA, 402 nt
Filed under: Verrucomicrobiota bacterium
Lineage: Bacteria; Pseudomonadati; Verrucomicrobiota
Description: Verrucomicrobia bacterium partial 16S ribosomal RNA
Rfam family: Bacterial small subunit ribosomal RNA
Source: RNAcentral